UUCAGAGAGGACGUCUUCAGGUGCCACCCGGCUGUGACCUUGACAGUGACACACGGUGCAAUCGAAAAAAUCAAUCCACAGCUCCACCAUGUGGGCAUGGUCGCGUUCUGCAAGAGGGAGCACACAAUGGUUGUGAUUCAUCAGACCGCUGAGGCCACACAACUCCUCAGAGUACAGUCUGUGACGUUUGUUCGCGUCCCAGACCCACGGCGACACACCGAUCACACCUCAGUGGAUGGGAGGGAAGAAGGAAAGAAGGAUGGAGAAAGAGGUGCCAAAAAAAGGAAGAGAGACAUAGAAGGUCACAGUAGUUGUAGCUGUGCCACCACGGAGCUGUAUUUGUUUUGGCGUAACUUCUGCCUCCGUCGUGGAAGAGAUGAUGGUUCAUCGAGGCCUCUCCUGCCGUACUGUCUGGACGCAGCUCAACUCAGCACUGUUUGCAGGAAGCGGAGAUGAGUGAUGCCAGUGGGGUUUGGCACA
Scophthalmus maximus (turbot) is the source of this 480-nucleotide long non-coding RNA. RefSeq lists it as uncharacterized. NCBI's taxonomy places the organism in Eukaryota, Metazoa, Chordata, Actinopteri, Pleuronectiformes, Scophthalmidae. The record is from RefSeq and is a predicted model, not a curated record. The transcript has 3 exons.